This is a non-coding RNA of Brienomyrus brachyistius, 74 nucleotides long. The record is from the annotation of a RefSeq genome assembly. NCBI's taxonomy places the organism in Eukaryota, Metazoa, Chordata, Actinopteri, Osteoglossiformes, Mormyridae.
GGCACUGUGGCUUAGUGGGUCAAAGCCCCUGUCUCGUAAACAGGAGAUCCUGGGUUCAAAUCCCAGCAGUGCCU